This 244-nucleotide ribosomal RNA is filed under the name uncultured bacterium. Its description in RNAcentral is "partial small subunit ribosomal RNA". It matches the Rfam family "Bacterial small subunit ribosomal RNA", at positions 26 to 285 of the family's 1533-position model. The record is from RNAcentral.
AGAAUCAACGCUGGCGGCGUGCCUAACACAUGCAAGUCGAACGAGAAAGGGGAGCAAUCCCUGAGUACAGUGGCGCACGGGUGAGUAACACGUGACUAACCUACCCUGGAGUGGGGAAUAACUGAGGGAAACCUUAGCUAAUACCGCAUAAUACCUACGGGUCAAAGGAGCAAUUCGCUUCAGGAGGGGUCGCGGCCGAUUAGCUAGUUGGCGGGGUAAUGGCCCACCAAGGCAAUGAUCGGUA